This 478-nucleotide ribosomal RNA is filed under the name uncultured bacterium. RNAcentral's name for it is "partial 16S ribosomal RNA". It matches the Rfam family "Bacterial small subunit ribosomal RNA", at positions 28 to 523 of the family's 1533-position model. The record is from RNAcentral.
GACGAACGCUGGCGGCGUGCUUAACACAUGCAAGUCGAACGGUAAGGCCCUUCGGGGUACACGAGUGGCGAACGGGUGAGUAACACGUGGGUGAUCUGCCCUGCACUUCGGGAUAAGCCUGGGAAACUGGGUCUAAUACCGGAUAGGACUCCGGACUGCAUGGUCUGGGGUGGAAAGCUUUUGCGGUGUGGGAUGGGCCCGCGGCCUAUCAGCUUGUUGGUGGGGUGAUGGCCUACCAAGGCGGCGACGGGUAGCCGGCCUGAGAGGGUGACCGGCCACACUGGGACGGAGAUACGGCCCAGACUCCUACGGGAGGCAGCAGUGGGGAAUAUUGCACAAUGGGCGCAAGCCUGAUGCAGCGACGCCGCGUGAGGGAUGACGGCCUUCGGGUUGUAAACCUCUUUCAGCAUCGACGAAGCGAAAGUGACGGUAGGUGCAGAAGAAGGACCGGCCAACUACGUGCCAGCAGCCGCCGUAA